AACCGCCCCUCCCCCCGGCUAUGGCUCUGCACGGUGUAGCAUAUACCAAGAGAACCCGCUUGGGUUGUUGAGUUCAUGUGACAGAAAACGUAUAGCCCUAAAUACCCUAGAGUCUAGUAGCUGUUACACCCCCUCUACUUCCGCCCAACAGGGAUUCCUUGCGCUUUCUUAAAUAUUUACAAGAAGAAUUUACAAGAAUUCCAACGCCAAUUGUAGGCCGGCUGUGGAGUCAAUCUGUGAGAUAUACCGCAACCAUGAUCAUCAGACUAGGAAGACUGACUCCGGGAUACUUCCGUCUCCUGCAGCGGCAAGUCUCUGGUGAACUGCAGAUGCAGCCACAGACUCGCCCUGUCAACCACAUCGCUAUGACGAUGGCCACGCUGGGAUUAGGCAUGUCCUGCUACAGCGCCCGGCAGAUGGCUGAAAGGGUCCACCUGAAGGAGCCUGUGGCCUGAGACAGCGCCCCCCGAAGGCCACUAGAGGACACCUCACCAUGCCUACCAGACCAUAGGGCAUUUCCAGAACUCAGACCUGGUGCCAGAUUCUGUGAAAUAAAUACCCCAAACUGGCGUGGAUGAUUGCCCUACCUGGAAUUUCAUACAGGACCACUUUGUCUAACUCCUACUUUUUCAUUUUUUCAUCUUUUUAUAUCUUCGACUAGCCCAACUGAUGAGAAGGUGGUGUGUCAGUGUUCGUGUUUAAAACAUGUGACCUCAUUUAACAAUGUUUAAUGUUUAGGUAACACACACACCACUAGCACUUAAUGCUGACAUUUAAAAAGUAACAUUGUCACCAUAAACUAAACGAAAAAAAGGAGAAACUUGAUCAUUUACAUGACUAAUGUGAAGGAGUGUACCUGACAAUGAAUAUGAAGCUUGAUGGAUGACUUUCCGUGUUUUUUGUAUGUUUGAGUUGGAAUGUGUAUGUUGGGGAAUAAUGAAGCUGGUGCUAAGAUGUGUGUAAACAGAGAUGAGGUUCUUGAAAAGUGUUUUGAAGGAAAAGUGAAAGUCCUACUCCUGUGAAAGAUGUUUGUUCUGUCUGUUGCUUUAACAUGGAGAUGUCUCUAUGCAUGAGAUCAACUCUCUGAUGAUACUUGACAUAUAAACAUUCUGUCACCAGUUUUCUCACCACAUACAUAACAAUAACAAGCCAUAGUUUAUCACAUUAAAAUAAUAAUAUAAGACUUCUACAAUAGAUCUUCAAUACUUAAGUCCUCACACUGUCAUGAUAAGCAUUCACCACUUACAUAGUCAAAUUCAUAAGGAUAGCACGAGUAGACGGAAUGAAACUUAAUACUGUGCGCCGUACUGUUUUUAAACUGUGAAUAAAGUUUUCUUCAAAAUUGAAUUCUGUCGCUAUGAUUUUGUUAAGCAAAACUGAGCAUACUGAUGUCCAAUUCUUUUAGUCCAUCUUCCUAUGUAUCAGGCCUGACGGUGGGUAAUUCAGUAUCAGGGUCCAUAUUGUUGCCCCAUAUUGUUGCUUGUAUAUUUCAUUAUAAAACCAGGGGCAGUGUUGGCUAGUCCUGUAUGAUGGAGGAGUUACAUGAUCAUAUCAACCUCUCUCUAAUGGAAGCUCUUUGAAGCGCUUAUGUAACUCCAUAUGAACACUGCAGGGGUGUUGUGUUUGGGCACUGAUGUGAGGGGGUGUCGCAGGGACUCAUAUUGUCUCUUGAAUGGAUGGCAGCACUGUCUGAAAGGGUUCAUUCAUGUGGAAGUAAUGUUUAAAAGCAGUACAGUUAUAUGUCUUCCUGAGGCCGGGUUGGCUGCGUGAGGGAGCCAGGG
This is a long non-coding RNA of Clupea harengus (Atlantic herring), 1781 nucleotides long. The record is from Ensembl. Lineage: Eukaryota; Metazoa; Chordata; Actinopteri; Clupeiformes; Clupeidae.